AUGAAUUUUAGGACGUUCUUUUUAGAAGUCCGACCAUUUCAUUUUCUUACACUGUGCACACACUUCUUUUUACACACACUUUUAACACAUUAGUAUAAGAAUGUAAUAGUCUCUUAAUUGAGCAUAAACAAAAAU
Molecule: unclassified non-coding RNA, 135 nt
Filed under: Cystobasidium minutum
Lineage: Eukaryota; Fungi; Basidiomycota; Cystobasidiomycetes; Cystobasidiales; Cystobasidiaceae
Description: ITS 1
Source: RNAcentral